ACGUUUUUGGAAGUUAAUUUUAUUAUAUGAAGAUGGUAUACAAAAUACAUUCAUCAUGACUAGAAAUAUAGGACCAAACCAUGUCUGUCUUAUAUCUGUAGCAUAUAUUCUUGGUUUGUAUAAAAGUAACUUUAAAAUUCCAGUUUCCUUAAAUAGUUAUGCACAAAACACACACACACACACAUACACAUAUAGUUACACCACUGUUGGCCAAAGAUGCACUCCUCCUUUAAUCAAUUUAAAUGAGGCUAGCGAGUAUCUGUUUGAUGUUUGCGUUCUUAUGGGCUAGGAAACAAGGCACAGGUCCCUAAAAUUAACAUCUAGGCGUCACUUCUUGGACUGACGAGACACAGACUCGUAUAUGGUUUCAGCCCCAUUCCACCCACACUGUUCCACAUACAUUAUCUCAGAAACUCUGAAAGGAAGUGCUUGUUCUUUGUUAGUGCCAUUUUUGUCGUAAAUGGCAAAUGAUUGGAAUAUUAUCAGUUAAUUCAUGUUUCAAUUUUCAGUGCUAUUUUAAUGAACAAGCACUUUGUAACUAGCUCAUUAUUACAAGCCUCCAUUUUUCUUUCUACAUUAAGACUCCAGAUGGAACCAUUCUUUGACUGACGGAUGGACUCAUGUAUGCUACAAACCUGAGUUUGAAGAAGCUGAGUAACGGAAUUCUAAUGAUUUUUCUUUUCUCUUGGAAAGGAGUAUCUAUUAUGGUCUCUUAAUGAUUAAGAAUUAGAUUAUUGAAAUCAAGACAUAUGAAUAGCUAAGGUUUUAUUUGUUAUCACUAUUUGCUGGGCUGUUACCUGAUUUGGAAAAAAAAAAUAGAGAAUUGACUGAGGUCUUUUUUCUGUGUUUAACCUCCUUCCAGUUACCUGAUUUAUAAUAUUGCCAGCUGUCACAGGUGCUUUUGUGUAUAUAAAGAAGAGGAAGAACAAAGAUUUGUCCUCUCUUCUGGCUCUAGCCUGCUUUUGUUUGGAUUUAGAUCUUGGUGGAGAGACCUGUCCCGCUCCUCUCUUCUGGCUAGUGCGUCUUCCACAAAAGCCACUGCCAGGAGCCAGUGGGCUCGCUCGGGAAUAUGCUGAUGGUGGUCCCAUCUCUUCGUUCAGAGAGCCUUUAAACAGGGAUGUGGCACAUAAGAAUGGAAGCAUAUAUUCUUCUGUUACUUAGAGCCCAGGUUCUAGAGUUAAGUUACAUGGAUAAAAGGAAGCAUACUCUUCUCCCCAAGCAGCAGCAAUCCACUGUUGCCUGUCCAGCUUCUGACUGGCUGCAGAAGGUGCAGGCAUCCUAAAUACAUAGACCCUAACUUGCAUAAAUAGCGUCCAACAGAGCCAGCUUUAGUGAUCCAAGGCCCACUUGAUCUUUAGACCCUAAGAGUAGGCAUCCUUUGCUACCCUGUCUCCCUAUUCCCAUCAUGCUCAGACCCCAGGCAAGGUUCAAAGCAGUUGAAAAUGGGCUUUUCUUCUAAUGAUGGCUCAUUAACUAAUAUCCUGAGUCCCAACUGGAGAAAUAUCUUGCAUAAAUUACAUAUCACCUUUUUUCUCAAGGAGCUUAAAGUGCUUAAUAUGCAUCAGCUAAUGCUCUUCCACAUCCUUCCAGAUUAGUGGGAUAGAGUGGAAUCCCCAUGAAAUGAAAAGGAAACGUGACUGGUUGCCUGUGCUUUGGGUCCCAGCUGUGUUGGUGAAUUGGUUUGGCUGGUUUAGAGAUGGGGUUUUCCCUUGACCUAAUUGACCUUUUUCCUCCAUCAGCCCUAGUUUUGGUGUGGAGAAAACCCUCCUCGAGACGGCAUUUUCAUUCUUCUCGGCUUGCUUUCACAAGGAACUGUGCAAAACAGGAUAAUACCAAGAAAUUAAGUGUCUGGACUGUAUAUUAAUACUCAAAAUAGAAUGUGACAUUUUAAGUGUUAAGGCCAUCAUGCCAUGGAUACAACCUAAGUUUUCAGUGCAUCUU
Molecule: long non-coding RNA, 1941 nt
Filed under: Macaca fascicularis (crab-eating macaque)
Lineage: Eukaryota; Metazoa; Chordata; Mammalia; Primates; Cercopithecidae
Description: lncRNA (ENSMFAG00000063994.1)
Source: RNAcentral